CCUACGGGAGGCUGCAGUGGGGAAUAUUGGACAAUGGGGGGAACCCUGAUCCAGCCAUGCCGCGUGUGUGAAGAAGGCCCUCGGGUUGUAAAGCACUUUCAGUGAGGAAGAACGCCUGGUGGUUAAUACCCAUCAGGAAAGACAUCACUCACAGAAGAAGCACCGGCUAACUCCGUGCCAGCAGCCGCGGUAAUACGGAGGGUGCGAGCGUUAAUCGGAAUUACUGGGCGUAAAGCGCGCGUAGGUGGCUUGAUAAGCCGGUUGUGAAAGCCCCGGGCUCAACCUGGGAACGGCAUCCGGAACUGUCAAGCUAGAGUGCAGGAGAGGAAGGUAGAAUUCCCGGUGUAGCGGUGAAAUGCGUAGAGAUUGGGAGGAAUACCAGUGGCGAAGGCGGCCUUCUGGACUGACACUGACACUGAGGUGCGAAAGCGUGGGUAGCAAACAGGAUUAGAUACCCGGGUAGUC
Molecule: ribosomal RNA, 465 nt
Filed under: Vreelandella stevensii
Lineage: Bacteria; Pseudomonadati; Pseudomonadota; Gammaproteobacteria; Oceanospirillales; Halomonadaceae
Description: partial 16S ribosomal RNA
Rfam family: Bacterial small subunit ribosomal RNA
Source: RNAcentral